RNAcentral lists this ribosomal RNA (918 nucleotides) under Pseudolactococcus raffinolactis. RNAcentral describes it as "bacterial SSU rRNA". It matches the Rfam family "Bacterial small subunit ribosomal RNA", at positions 162 to 1066 of the family's 1533-position model. Lineage: Bacteria; Bacillati; Bacillota; Bacilli; Lactobacillales; Streptococcaceae. The record is from RNAcentral.
GCUAAUACCGCAUAACAAUGUUGGAUGCAUAUUCGACAUUUGAAAGUACCAAAUGGUACACUGAGAGAUGGACCCGCGUUGUAUUAGCUAGUUGGUAGUGUAAUGGACUACCAAGGCGAUGAUACAUAGCCGACCUGAGAGGGUGAUCGGCCACAUUGGGACUGAGACACGGCCCAAACUCCUACGGGAGGCAGCAGUAGGGAAUCUUCGGCAAUGGACGAAAGUCUGACCGAGCAACGCCGCGUGAGUGAAGAAGGUUUUCGGAUCGUAAAACUCUGUUGUUAGAGAAGAACGUUGCAUAGAGUGGAAAAUUAUGCAAGUGACGGUAUCUAACCAGAAAGGGACGGCUAACUACGUGCCAGCAGCCGCGGUAAUACGUAGGUCCCGAGCGUUGUCCGGAUUUAUUGGGGCGUAAAGCGAGCGCAGGUGGUUUAAUAAGUCUGAUGUAAAAGGCAGUGGCUCAACCAUUGUGUGCAUUGGAAACUGUUAGACUUGAGUGCAGUAGAGGAGAGUGGAAUUCCAUGUGUAGCGGUGAAAUGCGUAGAUAUAUGGAGGAACACCGGUGGCGAAAGCGGCUCUCUGGACUGUCACUGACACUGAGGCUCGAAAGCGUGGGGUAGCAAACAGGAUUAGAUACCCUGGUAGUCCACGCCGUAAACGAUGAGUGCUAGUUGUUUGGGGCUAUCCAGCCCUAAGUGACGCAGCAAACGCAUUAAGCACUCCGCCUGGGGAGUACGACCGCAAGGUUGAAACUCAAAGGAAUUGACGGGGGCCCGCACAAGCGGUGGAGCAUGUGGUUUAAUUCGAAGCAACGCGAAGAACCUUACCAGGUCUUGACAUACUCGUGCUAUUCCUAGAGAUAGGAAGUUCCUUCGGGACACGGGAUACAGGUGGUGCAUGGUGUCGUCAGCUCGUGUC